This 360-nucleotide ribosomal RNA is filed under the name uncultured bacterium. RNAcentral's name for it is "bacterial SSU rRNA". It matches the Rfam family "Bacterial small subunit ribosomal RNA", at positions 29 to 416 of the family's 1533-position model. The record is from RNAcentral.
AACGAACGCUGGCGGCAUGCCUAACACAUGCAAGUCGAACGAGACCUUCGGGUCUAGUGGCGCACGGGUGCGUAACGCGUGGGAACCUGCCUUUAGGUUCGGAAUAACAGUGAGAAAUUACUGCUAAUACCGGAUGAUGUCUUCGGACCAAAGAUUUAUCGCCUUUAGAUGGGCCCGCGUUGGAUUAGCUAGUUGGUGGGGUAAAGGCCUACCAAGGCGACGAUCCAUAGCUGGUCUGAGAGGAUGAUCAGCCACACUGGGACUGAGACACGGCCCAGACUCCUACGGGAGGCAGCAGUGGGGAAUUUUGGACAAUGGGGGAAACCCUGAUCCAGCAAUGCCGCGUGAGUGAAGAAGGCC